AGAAAUGCAUUCUGAAAUACAAAAUGUAAGUUGUGGACACCAGCAUUUUGUUAAUGUUCUGGUGAAACAAACAUAUUCACUUUGUUUGGGUUUAAAAUAUGCUCUGAAAAGAAAUGUUACAAAAAUGAGUAGCUCUUGGCCAUUUUCAUUUUGUAAAAGUAGCUCUCACAAGGAAAAACGUUGGUGACCCCUGAUCUAUCCUGUACACGUUGAUGAAUAUGCUUUCUUUCUAACUUGUGUGUACAAUCAAAAGGUGUAGAGGGAAACAGUACAGCAAACCUUCCCACACCAACCAACACAUCCACUAUCAAUGCAUCUUCAGGUAUUCACCACAUCAUCAGAGUCAGACAACACUUGAGCAGAGGCGGGUGCACAAACUGGUGGGUGUCCAGAUGGUGUGGGUGUUGAUCAGGGGAUGCAUGUGUUGACAUCACAACUGGGAUCUUUUGUAUGACCACCAUCAGCGUUGUCACUCCUGCUGGAAGCUCUGUGAAGGAAUGAAAACAAGGCAGCAAAAGCUUUGUUUUCACACCAUUUUAAAACAUGAAAUGAGUCAUUUUUGUUGUGAAGACCAGGAGCUGAUGAGGCAGGAGCUAGGUGGCUGCUGCUGACACGCAGGCAAUUGAUCCCCAUGCACCAUGUACAGUCUCAUAUGGAGGGCAGAACUACAGGACAACACACGAGAUCACAUGAGUCGGCCCACUGCUUGCACUAGAGAAGUAACAGAUGAUGCCAACAUUAGGAGCUCUUCCACACCUGGGCUUUUGGAUUGUGCCCUUCAACAGGUACGUGAUCAUCAGCACCUGUCAUGUGCCACGCCACUGAUGGAUGUUUCUCCCUUAACACAACAAGCAGUUGAGCUGGAGAAUACCAGUCAUGGUGAUGAUACCAACACACAUGGUCACAUGACUAACACUUGGACCCACGGAGAGGAAGACGUCAACAAUUCCAGCAGCAAAGAUGAACUUGAUAGUGAGAACUCUUCCACGACCAGCCUGUUGGAUGUGGACAUUCAAGAGGUACAUUGGGGUGGGGGAUCCACUAGGCCAGGUUUGUUGGCAUAGUAAUACACCUCAGAGGGCCUCCAGUGACCCCCUCACCCAAGUGCCAACAGUGCCCACGUGUUACAAUACAUCUACAAGUAGUUCGAGGUUGAAGGCUCUAGUAAUUUUAAAAGGUGUACACUAAGUCCCCAACUAAGGAACACAAUUGGUUCCAGAUGACCGUUCUUAAGUGGAAUUGUUCUUAAGUAGGGGAAAAGGUAAUAUUACCAAUAAUAUAGGUACUACAUGUACGUGAAUACAUAUACAGUAUAUAUGUAUGUAUGUAAAUAUGAGUUUGGAUGCAGUAGUAAUAUUAAACCAGGAUAAUGAAUGAAAAAAACAAUAAUAAAAAUGAUAUAAUAAUACGUAAUGAUAAAUGUUAUUUACCUUUGAGGAGGAGUGGUCGAGCAUACGUCGUUGUGGUGGAGUUGGAGGAGGAGAUAUUGAAAAAAAGGACAAAUGGUGGUGGUGGUUAGACUCUUCUAAAAGAGGUAGUGUUCUGUGCAGGCCCGUAACCAGGGAAGGUUCGGGGGGGUUCGAACAAACUCCCCUGCGGGCGACCAAUGGUCUGCUUGGUUAAAAAAAAAAAAAAAAAAAAGCUGCUAUCAAAGUGUGCAAUUGUAACGGAGUGUAGAUGUGCUGUGAUAAAUGAUGGCAGAAGUGUUGCAACAGCGCCUGUUGCUGGUGAAUAGUGGCAUGUGCAAGUUGCUGCAGGAACUGCUCACAACUGUUAGAAUGAGACAUGGUGAGUCACGUUUUUGCACUGUCCGGGAUAUUUGGUGAUGUAAUGUUUACUGUGUGUUUAGAUUUUGUCAUGUACAAUGUCAUGUGCAUUUGAUAGUGUUCACUAUUUGGAAAGAGCCAGUCUGCACUUUUGAGUGAAGUUUUAUAGACUUUAAUGCGAAUCAUUUAUGUAAAUGCAGAUGAUCCCGUGACCAAAGUCGACGCUCAUCUGUCAUUCCUCUGUAAAAGUGUUGUUCCAAGUAAUAUUCUAUGUCAUUGUGACUAUGUUGUCUUCAAUAUGCGGUUUCUACUUGUUGGUACUUUGCUAAUGCUAAUUGCUGGGCCUCGUUUAGUAUUGCACCACUGAUCUGUAUUAUAUAUCUGGAUAGCUCAUUGGCGAUGACUUGUGAAGGCAAAUGGCCGCCAUAAUGCAACUCGCAAGAAACACUUCUCGGGCAAGCUUUUGCAUUCAUGGUGAACUUCUUUUAUUAAUUCGGAUUGGACCCAAAUUUCGACUUAAGAUGCCUGCAUGUCCAGCUAUUAACUGCACAAAUUGCCAGUUCAAAGGCUGUGGACGAACAUUUCACGUGUAAGUAUGAUUGAAAUGUAGAUUUAUGAUUGAUCAUUUAAGGGUUUUGCACUAUCUCUCAGAUAUUUUCGAUCGUGUAAAAUUCCUCUGAUUAAAUGUAUGUCCAGAAUUGAUACGUUUAUCGAGCUCUAUGAUAGCUAAGAGGAAAUGUACUUUUUUGUUAUAUCAUGACAUAUGUAUUUCUUUAAGGGAGGAAGGUUGCGUUACUUGAAGGAAUGGGAGAAUCUCAGUGCUUCCAUGAUGCUUACCAGGCAUUGUAUACAGUGCAGUUAGCAAGCCAGUUUGCAUACAAUUGACCCGGCAUGACCCUUCAUUUGGAUAAACAACCAUUUUUUUUUUUUUUGCUGCUGAAUGACUGACGUAAAAGGAUUUAUUCGUAUGAUAUGUUCUGGAAAAUAAUAUUACUGAACAUGCAUACCGGUAUGUUUGAGAUUGCAAACAACGUAUUGUCUUACCCAAAGCAUAUGGUUUUGUUUCAGUGUUGUUUUUUUCUGUGUGUGUGUGUGUGUGUGUGGGUGUAUGUGUUAUGGUUACUGCUGCCAGACCACAACCAGUUGCCAGUUAUUCCUUUGCCUACCCUGCGUCCUGUACCUUCUUUCCCUGGCUUCCAACUGGUCUCCAUUGCUCCUUUCCUUGCUGCCAUUGUGUUUACUAGUAUCGUGUAUGUUCCUGCUCUGUAUGCCGUUUUUGCUACAGCUUUCUUAUUUAUUACUUAGUUUUUCCUCCUGCUUGCCA
Molecule: long non-coding RNA, 3090 nt
Organism: Dunckerocampus dactyliophorus (ringed pipefish)
Lineage: Eukaryota; Metazoa; Chordata; Actinopteri; Syngnathiformes; Syngnathidae
Exons: 5
Source: RefSeq, a predicted model, not a curated record